This 474-nucleotide long non-coding RNA is filed under the name Astyanax mexicanus (Mexican tetra). RNAcentral's name for it is "lncRNA (ENSAMXG00005011374.1)". The record is from RNAcentral. Lineage: Eukaryota; Metazoa; Chordata; Actinopteri; Characiformes; Acestrorhamphidae.
CACUGGGAGGCCUGCACGGUGACCUUUAUCCUCAGUAGGCCACUCCAGCAAACAGCAGAGCCAUCAGCAGUGCCGGAAUGUGCUGAGUCGGGGCGGAGUGUCUGAAUUUUUUUGAAAAAUGUCUCUGUUUUAAGCUACAGUACUAGUGUGUCUUGGGACAUCAUAAAAAGGCAACGAAAUCCUGACCACAUCUGCCAUUCCCCCUCAGUGCCAACAGUGUCAGCAUACAGCACUACUACAGCUGAUCUCAGAAAGAGGAAUGCCCUCCUACAUGGAUCCAGAAACAUCUGUUAGGGAGCCUCAGAGGAGUUAGAGAGAGACGACUGGCUUUAACAGACAAAUGCAGCGCAGAGUCAGCUCAGCACAGACUGCAGGGUAAAAGAGCUUCUGAGAGGUAAAGGACUGACUACACACACAGUGGUUUUGGGGGAGGUGAAGCAACAUACACUUGUACUCAUAUACUCACAUACCCGC